GACGAACGCUGGCGGCGUGCUUAACACAUGCAUGUCGAACGGAAAGGCCCUGCUUUUGUGGGGUGCUCGAGUGGCGAACGGGUGAGUAACACGUGAGUAACCUGCCCUUGACUUUGGGAUAACUUCAGGAAACUGGGGCUAAUACCGGAUAGGAGCUCCUGCUGCAUGGUGGGGGUUGGAAAGUUUCGGCGGUUGGGGAUGGACUCGCGGCUUAUCAGCUUGUUGGGGGGGUAGUGGCUUACCAAGGCUUUGACGGGUAGCCGGCCUGAGAGGGUGACCGGCCACAUUGGGACUGAGAUACGGCCCAGACUCCUACGGGAGGCAGCAGUGGGGAAUAUUGCACAAUGGGCGGAAGCCUGAUGCAGCAACGCCGCGUGCGGGAUGACGGCCUUCGGGUUGUAAACCGCUUUCGCCUGUGACGAAGCGUGAGUGACGGUAAUGGGUAAAGAAGCACCGGCUAACUACGUG
RNAcentral lists this ribosomal RNA (468 nucleotides) under uncultured bacterium. Its description in RNAcentral is "partial 16S ribosomal RNA". It matches the Rfam family "Bacterial small subunit ribosomal RNA", at positions 28 to 507 of the family's 1533-position model. The record is from RNAcentral.